UACGUAGGGUGCGAGCGUUGUCCGGAAUUAUUGGGCGUAAAGGGCUCGUAGGCGGUUUGUCGCGUCGGGAGUGAAAACCUCGGGCUUAACUCGGGGCUUGCUUUCGAUACGGGCAGACUAGAGGUAUGCAGGGGAGAACGGAAUUCCUGGUGUAGCGGUGAAAUGCGCAGAUAUCAGGAGGAACACCGGUGGCGAAGGCGGUUCUCUGGGCAUGUCCUGACGCUGAGGAGCGAAAGUGUGGGGAGCGAACAGG
This 253-nucleotide ribosomal RNA is filed under the name uncultured bacterium. RNAcentral describes it as "partial 16S ribosomal RNA". It matches the Rfam family "Bacterial small subunit ribosomal RNA", at positions 524 to 776 of the family's 1533-position model. The record is from RNAcentral.